GAUGAAGAACGUAGCGAAAUGCGAUAAGUAAUGUGAAUUGCAGAAUUCAGUGAAUCAUCGAAUCUUUGAACGCACAUUGCGCCCGCCAGUAUUCUGGCGGGCAUGCCUGUCCGAGCGUCAUUUCAACCCUCGAACCCCUCCGGGGGGUCGGCGUUGGGGAUCGGGAACCCCUAAGACGGGAUCCCGGCCCCGAAAUACAGUGGCGGUCUCGCCGCAGCCUCUCCUGCGCAGUAGUUUGCACAACUCGCACCGGGAGCGCGGCGCGUCCACGUCCGUAAAACACCCAACUUUCUGAAAUGUUGACCUCGGAUCAGGUAGGAAUACCCGCUGAACUUAAGCAUAUCAAUAAGCGGAGGA
RNAcentral lists this unclassified non-coding RNA (357 nucleotides) under soil metagenome. Its description in RNAcentral is "partial contains 5.8S ribosomal RNA, internal transcribed spacer 2, and large subunit ribosomal RNA". The stretch from base 1 to 120 matches the Rfam family "5.8S ribosomal RNA", at positions 35 to 154 of the family's 154-position model. The record is from RNAcentral.